AUUUAAAACAAACCUCAAAAAACUUCGUAAGCAACACUCCGAAGUACAAAUUUUCAAUGACUGAAUCAACCUGAAUACUAGCAGUAAGACAAGAAACACGUCUGUAGGGGCUUCACAGCUUCCCGCCGAGCUUGUCCUCCAAAAACAAUUCUUGAAUCACCGCUGACUAAUUUUAUUGGCUAUGUAAUAAUUCACCUACUUAAAUGUUAUAGUUUUGCUUAACCACCACCCGCACAAUCCUGCUACCGCCUCGGAGAACUCCUGAGCUUGCGCCGAUGUAACCCAAAAGUUCCUCCUCAGCCUGGCCCAUUUCCCUCGAUAGUCGACCUACUAGAUCCUUUCGUUAAAUGAGCCUCGCCGUUUUGAUGUUGAGAUCAACCCUUCAUUCAACCUUCUUUUGUAUCAUUUAUACCCUUCACAGACAUCGUUGUCUGAAUCCACCCCAUCGAUGAUCUGUUGGAAUUGCAUCGUUUAUCUCCAAUAUCCCUUCUCCAUGAGUGCUGUUGUAGUUCAAAGAUGGUGGAGAGGGGUAACCGUUCCGCUGUUGUCGACAUCUAAUGAGACUUGAACUACUGCCUCAACCCUGCGAUCUCUUCUUUCGACAGAGUCUGGGCUAUCACCUGCAGUGUCUGCUUCUUUGCCUUAAUCGCAGCAGAUAAGUUCCUCAAUCUGGUCAACACCGCGUUUCAAAGUGGCGCCUGGAAAGCGCGAUGCUCCUGCUGAAUUGUCAUUUGCUCAUUCACAUCGGAGUUCAACAUACUUAGAUCAUUCUAGCAUUUUUAGGUCUCUUCCUAACCAAGCUGGUUUCUAGCAAUCUUGGGCUGGGUGAUGUAGUAUUUGAUUGUUUGCCGCAGGAGUUCUUGCUCCUAACGCAUCUAACCCUACUGCCAAUUUUAUCCUUUCAUUCUUCGAA
Physcomitrium patens is the source of this 913-nucleotide non-coding RNA. Lineage: Eukaryota; Viridiplantae; Streptophyta; Bryopsida; Funariales; Funariaceae. The record is from RefSeq and is a predicted model, not a curated record.